Pipistrellus kuhlii (Kuhl's pipistrelle) is the source of this 585-nucleotide long non-coding RNA. RefSeq lists it as uncharacterized. The record is from RefSeq and is a predicted model, not a curated record. Lineage: Eukaryota; Metazoa; Chordata; Mammalia; Chiroptera; Vespertilionidae. The transcript is spliced from 2 exons.
GCCCCCAUGUGCUCCCAGAGCAGCCCGGGCUUCCCUAUCCAGCUGGCACACUUUUAUUUAAUUUUCUCCAUCCACUAUACCCGUUAUCUCUAAGUCCGAACUCCACUUGUUUCACUAUUUUUUCCCCACAGAAAAAAAAUCCGAUCUUUGAAUGAGUCUGGAUUAUGGAAUUGGUUUCCUCGCUGGGCAGAGCGAGAGGAAGACCUGCGGGAGGGCCCUUUCCCGUCCAUCUCCACCUGCUUUUAAGCGUUUUCGGGCACUGGAGCUCCCAAGUCCAUCAGAUUUCUGCAAAGGAAAAAGGAAUAAAAAUGUCAUCUGUCAUUCUUGACAGCAGUGCUAUGCUGAAUGGCCUAACUAAAAAAUGCCUUAGUUGUCAUGUUUGAGGUAUUCUUCAUUUGCAACCCCACCUCCCCGGCACUACGCAAUAUCCUCUCUAUAACUACCUCCCUCUUUCCUUCCCAACAUCUGAGUCUGGAUACAACUGCAAAUAGAUAAAAACAGACAGGUGAUUAGCAUACAUAUUGAUCUAGGCAGAGAAUUCACAGAAGUGAAAUAUGGCAAAAAAUAAAAUGGAACAGAUUUGGG